RNAcentral lists this ribosomal RNA (1728 nucleotides) under uncultured eukaryote. RNAcentral's name for it is "partial small subunit ribosomal RNA". It matches the Rfam family "Eukaryotic small subunit ribosomal RNA". The record is from RNAcentral.
CUGGUUGAUCCUGCCAGUAGUCAUAUGCUUGUCUCAAAGAUUAAGCCAUGCAUGUGUUAGUAUAAGUAUUGUACAGGAAACUGCGAAUGGCUCAUUAAAUCAGUUAUAAUUUAUUUGAUAAUCGAAAGUUACAUGGAUAACCGUGACAAAUUACAGCUAAUACAUGCAUUAAGACCUGGUCCAAGGUCGUAAUUAUUAGUAUUAAACCUCUGCCGCAAGGCGUGUGAUGAAUCAUAAUAAUAGAACGAAUCGCAGAAUUCUGCGAUAAAUCAUUCAAGUUUCUGCCCUAUCAGCUUUGGAUGGUAGUGUAUUGGACUACCAUGGCAGUCACGGGUAACGGAGAAUUAGGGUUCGAUUCCGGAGAGGGAGCCUGAGAAACGGCUACCACAUCUACGGAAGGCAGCAGGCGCGAAAAUUGCCCAAUCCCGACACGGGGAGGCAGUGACAAGAAAUAACAACUCUUGGAUUUCUAAGGAAGUGUAAUGAGGAUAAUUUACGACCCUUACCGAAAGCAAUUGGAGGGCAAGUCUGGUGCCAGCAGCCGCGGUAAUUCCAGCUCCAAUAGCAUAUAUUAAAGUUGUUGCAGUUAAAAAGCUCGUAGUUGAAGUUCUGGCUGUUCGAUCCUUGAGCUUCGUAGCCAAGGACUCGACAGUCAUCCGCUUGCAAAUAUAUGUUCGGCCUUUACCGGUCGGCUAUAUGAGUAAGCAUUUUACCUUGAGAAAAACAGAGUGUUCCAGGCAGGUAUGUCCGGAAUGCGUUAGCAUGGAAUAAUAGAAUAUGACUGAAGUCGACUUAUUGGUUUGAGGCUUUAGUAAUGAUUAAUAGGAACAGUCGGGGGCAUUGGUACUUGACAGUCAGAGGUGAAAUUCUAGGAUUUGUCAAAGACUAACAAAUGCGAAAGCAUUUGCCAAGGAUGUUUUCAUUAAUCAAGAACGAAAGUUAGGGGAUCAAAGACGAUCAGAUACCGUCCUAGUCUUAACUAUAAACUAUACCGACUCGGAUUCGGAUGAAUAAUAAAGUUCAUUCGGGACCGUAGGAGAAAUCAAAGUUUUUGGGUUCUGGGGGAAGUAUGGUCGCAAGGCUGAAACUUAAAGGAAUUGACGGUUUUGCACCACCAUGGAGUGGAGCUUGCGGCUUAAUUUGACUCAACACUGGGAAACUCAUCAGGGCAAGAAGAUUUUAGGAUUGACAGAUUGAGAGUUCUUUCUUGAUUGGUCUAGUGGUGGUGCAUGGCCGUUCUUAGUUGGUGGAGUGAUUUGUCUGGUUAAUUCCGUUAACGAACGAGACCUUAACCUGCUAACUAGUACUGGGAUUCCAAAUCGCAGUUACUUCUUAGAGGGACUAUGCGUGGUAAUCGCAUGGAAGUUUGAGGCAAUAACAGGUCUGUGAUGCCCUUAGAUGUCCUGAGCCGCACGCGUGCUACAAUGACACAUUCAACGAGUAUUUCCUGAUCCGAAAGGAUUUGGGCAAUCUUUUUAGUGUGUGUCGUGUUAGGGAUAGAUCUUUGUAAUUAUGGAUCUUGAACGAGGAAUUCCUAGUAAGCGCAAGUCAUCAGCUUGUGCUGAUUACGUCCCUGCAAAAUGUACACACCGCCCGUCGCUAUUGCCGAUUGAGUGUUCAGGUGAACCUUCUCGAUAGCGUCCGCGUUAGAAAUUAAGUAAACCUUUGCACUUAGAGGAAAUAAAAGUCGUAACAAGGUUUCCGUAGGUGAACCUGCAGAAGGAUCAA